CCCCUCUCAGGGUCGUACCUGGAGAGUUUCCAGUACUCUGCCAGUCUCGACUACGGGAGGGAGAGUCAAGCAGAGGCCUACCCAUUCCAUUCCUAGUUUGGGCAGUGACUAGAGAGUGGAACGGAGGCCAUCUGCUACAAGG
Small nucleolar RNA from Ornithorhynchus anatinus (platypus), 142 nucleotides. Lineage: Eukaryota; Metazoa; Chordata; Mammalia; Monotremata; Ornithorhynchidae. The record is from RefSeq and is a predicted model, not a curated record.